RNAcentral lists this long non-coding RNA (1069 nucleotides) under Coturnix japonica (Japanese quail). RNAcentral describes it as "lncRNA (ENSCJPG00005011059.1)". Lineage: Eukaryota; Metazoa; Chordata; Aves; Galliformes; Phasianidae. The record is from RNAcentral.
AGAAAUAGGGGGGAGGAAAAAAAGUUAAAUAAUUGCUUGCAAGUCACAAAUGUGGCUGCAAAGUUCAUAUUAAGCCCUCCCAGGUGACCAGCAAAUGAAGAGCAAAAGAAAGAGGCACAGCCAGGUAAAUGACAACAUUACCAUACACUUACAUGAUACGUGGUUUUAAUGGCUUUGGGUUGAAGGGAAUUUAAAGAAUAAUUCUCCUUUAGAAAAGGUGGCUACUACGUAGUAGUGGAUCUGACACCUCAUAACUGUACUCUGCUUGGCAGAGAGUGAAGCACUGCUCCACCGAACAAGAGCCACUUAAAGGGAGGAAUCAGCACAACUCAAUGGAUUUCAGAUUGAUCCUCAUUUCAAAGAUACCCCAAAACAUAAGUCUGAGCUGCUAGCAUCCAUUUGACAGAUGGUCGUUCUGAAGAGCAGGAUCUGUUUGUUAAUAUCCUUAAGAGGCCAAGGACUGCUGGGUCUGAGUUUCAGCAGCUGAAGUUGGGGAGCUCCACAACACAUUAAGCAAUUGUGGCUGUCAACAGCCUGGACUUUUCAGACCUCCUGCCUCGCGUAGCCAAAGGGACUCACAGGAGUCACGCAUCUCCCGAGAGGGCCUGGCACUAGAGGGCGAUGCAGACAUGCACUUCUGCCAGCGUUUCCCCUGUUAGGAAACACGGAGGAUUCUAGGAUUCUGACGUUAAUCAAGUUUUUGUAAUAAGGGUGUGCUACUUCUCUACCACCCCCAUUACCUUUCAUACAUUCUCCUAUGAUAGUUCUCUGUGUUUCUGACUUCCUUUACCACCAGCUUCUGCCCUUCAGAGUUGGUGCUCUAGACCUUUGCAUGUAAACUGAAACCAACAUCCAACUCAUGGACAAACACAAUCUCAUUAUUAGUUUUCCUCUUUUUCUCUUCUUCUUUUUUUUUUUUUUUGCUUCUGCCUCUGUCCCUUCUCUGAUCUGAUUCAUUUCCCAGCCUUCUGUCUGUCCAUUCUGCCCCUUCCUCAAGGAAUCUCACCCAUCCUGUAUCCUGUCUGUGGCCUGUAAUAAAAAAAUAUGGAUAGAAAAAUGAGAGGAUGUU